AAAAAAAAUAUUAAUAAUUCAUAUGCACAGAAAGGAAUAAAAUGUAUUAAACAGUUAUCCUCAAAUAAUAAUAAAAAAGUAGUUUGUGAUGCUGUUAAAGAUCAUGGUGUGGAUAAUAACAACAUUAAUGACAUGAAUCAUAAUGUUAAUGCUUCAGCUUAUGAAAUAAAAGAUAAAAAUAAGGAGGUGGAAGGCGAAGAGUAUACAGAAGAAGCAUAUAAUAAAAAAGAAAAAGAAUCAGGGGAUAUUAUGAAGGUAGACAAUUUUGAAGAAUUAGAUAAUGAUCUUUUAGAAAAACAAAUAAAAGAAAUGGAGGAAACCGAUAGAGGAGAAGCAUCUUUUUUAGAUGAACAAGAGUUUAACAGAAUAGAAGAAAAUCGAAAACAAAAUAAAAAAAAAAAUUAUGUUGAUACUAUUACAAAGUUAAAUAAGGCAAUGUUAUUAAGUAAUAAACCUGUUAUAAAUAAUAGUCAUAACAACGAAAAGGAUAUUACAGAAGAUAAUAAUACAAAUGUGUUAUAUGAAGAAAAAAAAAGAAAAGUAUUACUAAUACGUAUUUUAAAAAAUAUAAAAGAUGUGUUACAUAAGCAAAAAGUAAACUUUAAUAAUUUUGUUACUUAUUUGAGUGAAAAUUAUACAAUAUAUGAAAAAUUUACAUUGCCAAAACAAAUAAAUAUGAUGAAUGUUAAUAAAAACAAAAUAGAUAAGGAAAAAAAUCUAAAUCAUGAAGCAAUGUCAUCGUUUUUAAAUCUCACAGAACCAAAUGUUUUGAAAAAAAAUAUGACUACUAAUGGAAGUAAGUUAAAAAAAGACACUCUGAAUAAAGCAGGUAUGGACAUUAUGUUAAUGAUGCCAGGUGAAUAUGAGGAACCCGAUGAUGAUAACAAAAAAGACGAGGUGAAUGGUGAUAAUAAAGAUGAGAACAAUGACAACAAGAAAGACGGUAUAGAUAUAAUCAUUGGUGACAAUGAGACAGACGAGGAAAACGGUGAACCUAAAGAAAAACCAAUUGAUGAAAACAAUGUAACAUCGGAAGACUGGGAAAAAAUGAAUAAAAUUUUAAGCGAACUAAUUGAAUCUGAUAAUAUAACGGAAAAUCAAAAAAAAUAUUUAAAAAUAAUAAAAAAAAUUUUAGAUUUAGAAAGUGAAUUGUUAAACAAAGAAAUGUUACAACAUGAAUUGAGCAAAAAUAUAAUUGAUGUAUUAUUAAAUAAAUCGAAUGAAUUAAGAAGUAUAGCUGUACGUUUAAUAAAUGAAAACAAAGAAGGCGGAGGAACACAAAGAGUAGAUUUAGCUCAAAAUAUUGUGUCUAACUUAUUAAACUUUUCAAUUGAAUUAAAAAAUACAGGAAAUAUUGUUUAUAACAAUAUACAAGGACAAGGAGAUUUACUUCAAGCUAUUGAAAAUAAACUUAGUGAUGCAAAAAGCUCAUUGAGAGAUAUAAGUGUUCAUACUAUUUAUAAGAAUAGGAAUAAAACGGAUAUGGAUGGCGGCGAUAGUAAUGAUAACAAUAGUGAUGAUAACAAUAGUGAUGAUAAUAAUAAUGAUAAUAAUAAUGAUAAUAAUAAUGAUAAUAAUAAUGAUAAUAAUAAUGAUAAUAACAACAUCAUUGAUAAGGAAGUAUUGAUGCAAAGUUGCAGAUUUAAUGCUAAAAAUAAUAUACAAUCGCCGACCACUUGUAAAAAAAAUUCAUCAGUUUUAAAUGAAUAUAACAUUACAAAAUAUAAAUCAAACUUUAAAAUUUCUAAAUCAAUGAAAGAUCACUUUUUUGAUAUUUUUGCUAAAGAAGAAAGGGC
This 1796-nucleotide long non-coding RNA is filed under the name Piliocolobus tephrosceles (Ugandan red Colobus). RNAcentral describes it as "lncRNA (ENSPTEG00000006467.1)". The record is from RNAcentral. Lineage: Eukaryota; Metazoa; Chordata; Mammalia; Primates; Cercopithecidae.